This 253-nucleotide ribosomal RNA is filed under the name uncultured bacterium. Its description in RNAcentral is "partial 16S ribosomal RNA". It matches the Rfam family "Bacterial small subunit ribosomal RNA", at positions 524 to 776 of the family's 1533-position model. The record is from RNAcentral.
UACGGAGGGGGCUAGCGUUGUUCGGAAUUACUGGGCGUAAAGCGCACGUAGGCGGCUCUGCAAGUCAGAGGUGAAAUCCCCAGGCUCAACCUGGGAAUUGCCUUUGAUACUGCGGGGCUAGAGGCCGGGAGAGGGUAGUGGAAUUCCCAGUGUAGAGGUGAAAUUCGUAGAUAUUGGGAAGAACACCGGUGGCGAAGGCGGCUACCUGGACCGGUACUGACGCUGAGGUGCGAAAGCGUGGGGAGCAAACAGG